RNAcentral lists this unclassified non-coding RNA (236 nucleotides) under Hevea brasiliensis (rubber tree). The record is from RNAcentral. Lineage: Eukaryota; Viridiplantae; Streptophyta; Magnoliopsida; Malpighiales; Euphorbiaceae.
GGGUUAAGCUGGUGCAGCAGCAUUUCCUUUGGCACGUCAAGCCCGUAAAGUAUGAUAUUUUCAACAUGAUUCUCCAUUCAAUAUGGCACAACAGAGUUUUUGGAGUAAGAACUAGGUGACAAAUGUACACACACAGAGAGUUUCAAAGUUUUAGAUGUUUUAGUGCAGCUUUCUUUUGAGAAAUAUGUAAAAAGUUGCAUCAGUGUAUCUUAUUAUUUCCUGUAAAUAGACUUGAG